This 255-nucleotide ribosomal RNA is filed under the name Klebsiella pneumoniae. Its description in RNAcentral is "partial 23S ribosomal RNA". It matches the Rfam family "Bacterial large subunit ribosomal RNA", at positions 1641 to 1879 of the family's 2925-position model. Lineage: Bacteria; Pseudomonadati; Pseudomonadota; Gammaproteobacteria; Enterobacterales; Enterobacteriaceae. RNAcentral also lists the same sequence under 1 other name. The record is from RNAcentral.
AUCGUACCCCAAACCGACACAGGUGGUCAGGUAGAGAAUACCAAGGCGCUUGAGAGAACUCGGGUGAAGGAACUAGGCAAAAUGGUGCCGUAACUUCGGGAGAAGGCACGCUGGUGUGUAGGUGAAGCCCCUGCGGGUGGAGCUGAGACCAGUCGAAGAUACCAGCUGGCUGCAACUGUUUAUUAAAAACACAGCACUGUGCAAACACGAAAGUGGACGUAUACGGUGUGACGCCUGCCCGGUGCCGGAAGGUUA